UCGAGGGGCAGCGGGUAGAUGAGCUUGCUCAUUUAUGCCGGCGACCGGCGCACGGGUGAGUAACACGUAUGCAACCUGCCCGUCUCAGGGGGAUAAUCGUCGGAAACGGCGUCUAAUACCCCGUAUGAAGCUGGACGGCAUCGUCUGGUUUUGAAAGAAUAUCGGAGACGGAUGGGCAUGCGGCGCAUUAGCUGGUUGGCGGGGUAACGGCCCACCAAGGCGACGAUGCGUAGGGGUUCUGAGAGGAAGGUCCCCCACACUGGUACUGAGACACGGACCAGACUCCUACGGGAGGCAGCAGUGAGGAAUAUUGGUCAAUGGGCGAGAGCCUGAACCAGCCAAGUCGCGUGAGGGAGUACUGCCCUAUGGGUUGUAAACCUCUUUUGUCGGGGAGCAAAAGCCGGACGUGUCCGGCUGUGAGAGUACCCGAAGAAAAAGCAUCGGCUAACUCCGUGCCAGCAGCCGCGGUAAUACGGAGGAUGCGAGCGUUAUCCGGAUUUAUUGGGUUUAAAGGGUGCGCAGGCGGAUUUUUAAGUCAGCGGUCAAAUCGUGGGGCUCAACCCCAUCCAGCCGUUGAAACUGGGGAUCUAGAGUGUGCGAGAGGUAUGCGGAAUGCGUGGUGUAGCGGUGAAAUGCAUAGAUAUCACGCAGAACCCCGAUUGCGAAGGCAGCAUACCGGUGCACAACUGACGCUCAGGCACGAAAGCGUGGGUAUCGAACAGGAUUAGAUACCCUGGUAGUCCACGCAGUAAACGAUGAAUGCUACCUGU
This 770-nucleotide ribosomal RNA is filed under the name uncultured bacterium. RNAcentral's name for it is "bacterial SSU rRNA". It matches the Rfam family "Bacterial small subunit ribosomal RNA", at positions 62 to 823 of the family's 1533-position model. The record is from RNAcentral.